Molecule: long non-coding RNA, 734 nt
Filed under: Junco hyemalis (dark-eyed junco)
Lineage: Eukaryota; Metazoa; Chordata; Aves; Passeriformes; Passerellidae
Description: lncRNA (ENSJHYG00000013276.1)
Source: RNAcentral
CCCUGGGAGACCCCAGCCGGGCGGGCAGUGAAUGAGCAAAAAGUGGAAGAAUGAGAGGAGGGAGGAGGCUUUGGUCAGGUGAUCCCUGAUGAGCAGCCAGCCCACCAAGAAGGGAUUUGAGCACACAGGCUGGUGCCAGAUUCCUCUGUGGAUGGGUGGUGGAAAGCUCCUGUCUUCACCCACCGCUGGAAACACAAAUGUUACAGCUCUGCCCAUCAUUGUGCCUGACAAGCCGUGUUCCCUGAGAGCUGAAUGCUGAGCACACCUCAGCCCCUGUGAUCAGACACUGCCAGCAUUCAAAGGAGAUGUUUUAUACAUGAAAAAGAGAUGUUUACAGAGAGCUGGAAUGUAGAGGUGAUGCAGUCCAACAAUCCCAGUGGAAAUUAGGAGCAGCUCAGUGCCUCUGAAGGCUGACGUGUGUUAUGUAUAUAGCACUGAGCACGGAGGGGCUUCCUGCACACUGAUGCUGUGAAUUAGUCACUGCAGGUACCAUAACUUGCAUAAGCUGGUGGGAAAAAGUGCAUUUUCAGCCAAGCGUGCUAAUACAGCCCUUCCACUUUCUCUGAAACAGACAAAUAAUGGAUACCUUAAGGGUAAAUAUCAAAGAGGAUUUAGUUUUAGGGUUUUUUGUUUGUUUGUUUGUGUGUUUUGUUUGGCUUUUUAAAUGCAAAGAUUCUCAAAACCUACAUCACUUGUUUACCCAAAGGAAAAAUAAACAAACAUGGACUUGCUCA